ACGGCAUGAUGGGGUCAUUUUCUGAUGAGAUCCUUUAAUCGUUCCCAUGAUUUAUAGAACUGCUCACCAUCUUGUUGCGAUAAGGUAGUGAGAGCUCGUCUUAUCU
Molecule: small nucleolar RNA, 106 nt
Filed under: Cephalotus follicularis
Lineage: Eukaryota; Viridiplantae; Streptophyta; Magnoliopsida; Oxalidales; Cephalotaceae
Description: Plant small nucleolar RNA R71
Rfam family: Plant small nucleolar RNA R71
About the family: R71 is a member of the C/D box family of snoRNAs containing the C (UGAUGA) and D (CUGA) box motifs. Multiple nearly identical copies of this snoRNA have been identified in Arabidopsis, and it is thought to function as a 2'-O-ribose methylation guide for 18S ribosomal RNA.
Source: Rfam by way of RNAcentral